AUAUAUAAUCAUUAUUAUAUAUAUAAUUAUAUAUAUAUAUAUCGUAAAUUUUCUCCAUUUUAUACAGAUAUAAUAAAAAUAAUGGGGAUCCGUAUCGUGUUCUAAUUAUAAAAAAAUAGAAUAAAUUUUUUGGACAUUCUAUCGAGGGUUUACCGAUUUGAAUGACUUGCCCCAUAGAAAAAAUCAUUUCUUACGCGACAAAAAAGUUAAGUUUCUACUUUGUCCUAAUAAGACCACGAUACCGAAUAUGCCCACGAUACCCUUAAAGGGAUCUCCUCUAUUUUUGUUAUAUCCUGUAUUUCUUAAUUUUAUAGGGAAACAAAAAUGUGAUUUCGCCGUGUCAGUGUUACUACCGCCGAAAGAAAUAAGAUCUGAAGCGCAGCACAUGCCAUUCCUUAUGCAGAAGCACAAAAGCUGCAGAGCACCCAAUCGCAAGAAGUGUAGAUUGCCUCUUUGCGUAGUAAGAGGCCGAAAUUGUUUCCUCCAGUGUCAUGAACCGUUUUGACUAAUGUUAUUAUGUUUUCUUGAGUUAUGCUUGGAAUUACUACCUCGUUUGUAUAUCUUUCUAUUAAAUUUGUCUUUAAGUAUUGUAUACAAAUAAAUAAUUUAACGCUUUAUCAAUUUUUGUUUUAAUUAAAUAUAAUUAUUAUAUAUAACGCUUUUGAUAAUGAUUUAAACUUAGAUUUUAAUUUAAUUAAUCCCAUAUACCGUAUAGUUUUAUUUAAACAUUUCAGCUAAGUUACCUACACGAAAGUAUAGAAAAUAUUUCCAAUCGAAUAGGGUCUACAUAAGCUAACUAGGUUUCCGUACCGUAAUCAACCUCUUAACUUCCCAUUGUAACUUUUAUCUUUUGAUCUCGGUUUGCUUUAAUGGUAUGAACGUCAUUUAAUUUCAGAAAACAAAUCAAAAAAGAAGAAAUCUUUUCGCGACUACACAGAGGAAGCUUUGAAUAAUGCUCUUUAUGAUGUCAGCGUAAGAAAAAGAAGCAUUAAGUCAGCAGCCAAAGCUCAUGGAGUACCCCGAGGCACAAUUUACAGUAGGAUCAAAGCAAAUCACUUCGGAAAGAUGAGAAUGGGACCUGAGACAUUAUUAGGAGAUGAUGGAGAAGAGCGCUUAAAAGCUUGGAUUAUAUAUAACAGUCAGUAUGGUCCUAUCAAGAAAAAGAACAUAAUUAUUGCCGCUCAAAAAAUUGUAGAUGAGAUGGGAAUAAACAAUUUCAAAACUGGAAGUCCGAGUAACAAAUGGUAUGCGGGAUUCUUAAGACGACACCCAAAUAUACAUGAAAUUGUGAAGAGAUGUAAACAUGAACCGAAAGAUAAUGAUGAAACAUUGAAUGCUUGUGAUUACCUAAGUAUUAACUAAAACUGUCCGAAAAUGUAUGCGUCCAGCAAAGUUGGAAUGGCUUACUACUGUAUAAAAUCAUCGUGAUUUCUAUAUACAAUAUGUACUUGUGUUUAUGUAUUUAAUAUAAAAAAAAAGAUAAGUCUAAAAUACAAUAUAUGCAAGUGCAACACCGUUUUCACUCAUUAUCAGAUAAGAAUAAGAAGCCAUUUAUUGCCACAAAUUAUCACGAUGAAAAACUUAUCCUAAUUUUGUUAUUAGGUAAGUACCUACUUUUUUGCUGACACUGACAUCCUGUAGUUAAUGAAUAUAACAGAAGAUACGCAGCAUAACAGCAAAAAUUAAUGUAUAAGUAAAAAACUGUUAUUAUACUUCUUCGACUACGUCAGGAUUCUAUACACCUUGAGUUAGGGUUAUUUGGCAAAGUUUAUGGCAGUAGUGUGUAGCUUGCAAUUGUCUUUUUGCUAACUGCAGAGUUAAAACUAUACUUAAAUUGAAUUAAUCUACUACUGCUGUGUUGUGCGGUAAUCUGUAGUCUUUCUAUAAUUUUGUUAGAAUUUUAACUGUUUAUUUAAAAUUUAAACAGACUACAAGGCCCAUAUUACAAAUACAUUUUAAAGUCAUAAUUAUAUAUACGUUUUAUAAACUUAAAACUAAACACUAUGUAGGCUACAAAACGGCGUGGCUCCGUUGAAUCGUCUGGUCUUGUUUCGGAUUCGGCAGUUUGCCCCGGAACCUCCGAAACACAACAGCCUUCGACCAGAAGUCGACGCACUCGGUGGUCCCCUGCAGGGGUCGCGGCACGCGCACUACAAAAGAAUUGAAGUGCACGUAGUUGCGCGAUCGAAGCUGGUACAACCUAAGCGUUUAGCCGGUGUUCUGGUGUAUAUUUAUACUCAACCACAGCCGUGACAGUGUUAUCAAGGCGCGACACAUACAGCGCUUUACUUGGUGUAUGAAAAAUGAGCUAGUUCGACGGUACCACACUGAGUCUUACGAGGCGCUAUGCGCGCCUUUUUCUUUUUUGACACAAGAGUCAAGUCCUCCUCAUCCACAAUGGCAACAGGGAGCUUCUCUGGAGCCGAUCGCCCUUCGGGUACCUUUCAAAGUAAACUAACCCGGUUCGAUGCGAUCUUCGGACCGGCAAGGGCAUUCGCGUAAACACGUAAUAAUUUGUAAUCUGUCUUGUUUGUGUUUACGAAUAAAAGUAAUUCUAUUCUGUUAUGUGUUAGCGUUGGUAAUAGACUGUUAAUAAUGUUGGGCCAUACGAGCUACAAAAAAACUAGACUAAGUCCCAAUCUAUGCUAAAAACUAUUACUAUGUUGAAUAUUUCAGAAAACCUACCAAGUAAGCAAGCGGCUAAACAAAUUAAAAGGAAGCGAAUCAAAGGAAACAAACCAAUACCUCGUCGCAGAUAUGGUCAAGAUGCUUUAAAACGUGCGCUUGACGAUGUCAUUAUGAAAGGCAAGUCUAUAUACGCGGCGGCCCAAGCACACGGAGUACCAAAGACCACCAUUUACAAUAGAUUUAAAAUGAAUCGCUUCGGUACGAUAAAAAUGGGACCAGGAACAUUAUUAGGUGAUGAUGGAGAGGAACGUGUCAGAAAAUGGAUUAUAUGUAAUGGUACAAACGAACCUCUCGAGAAGCGGGAAAUUUUGGAUAUCGCUAAUGAAAUUUCAAUUGAUCUCGGAAGAUCACAUGCUUUCCUAAAUGGGAAACCUGGAAAUAAAUGGUACCAGAAAUUUUUAAAAAGACACCCUGAUUUGAAAACGUUCGUGAAAUACGCGAGUUAAUAAGUCAGUUAUUAAAUCAUUACCUUUAAAGCCAAAUAUACGUUUUAUAUUUCUUCAUCUUUUAUUUUGCGUUUGCAUUGCCACUAGCUGUAUAAGAGAAGCCUCAAUAUAUAUGCCAUGCUGUAUAAGAAAAUAUAUAUGCCAUACUGGUAUAAAACGUACGUGGUACGUGGUGGUACGUUUACCAGUGCGCCAUUUCCUAUCACAUAAUAUGUAAAACAAUUAAUUAGUGCCCAAUCCAACUUAUUUUGUAAGCGUUACUUCAUUUCAGAAAACGCUUCUAGCAUACAGAAGAAUAGAAAACGUCGUAGAAAAAGUAAAACUGCGUACACUGCUGAGGCUUUAAAAUGUGCUCUUGACGAUAUCAGACACGGUAAAAGUUUCAGACAAACAUCCAGAACCUACGGAAUACCAUUCAAAUCGUACAAACCAACGGAACCCACCCCACACUGAUAUAUCAAGGGUUCUCAUUCACGCCGCACAACGCCGGCCGAGGGAAUCGGGUGCAACUCUGGUACUGCCGGUACCGGCGGAGGUUUAAAUGCAGGGCUGUCGUGAAGACGGUGGGUGAUAUUGUGGUGUCUUCUGACGACGCGAAACAUUCGCAUUUGUAUUCCUAAAGGUUGUGUGAUACUACGCAUAUUGAUAUUUGAUGUGGUAUAUUAGUUAGUUCUCAUUUGUCAUCGCCUCACGUAAACGGGACGGGCACAGAUGGGAACGAUUCAUUCCCAUAUCUCAAGAAAAUUAAUAUAAAAACGAUCAUAAUCGAUCUUGACAGAGUGCGUGGCAGUGGCGACAGCAUUUUAAGCAUUAUAGCCAAUAAGUUUGAUGUCCACUUAUAUGCAAAAUAAGCCAAAAGACCAAACCACUUUUAUUUAUUUAUUUUGAACAUUCAGUUAUGUACAUUCAGUUCAAAACUGACAACAUGUGGACUAUUAUGUUGCCUGUAAUAAAUAAAUUUAUUGAUAAUUUGUGGCCGGCGGGGACAAAAGGGAAUGAAUCCUUUCCAUCUAUGACCGCCUCGGUUUCGUCCUAUCCAUCUCAUUAUACAUAAUGUCGAUUUGAAUAGUUUCUAUAUUGAACUUCGUAAUCGCGGUAUUGAUAUUCGUGACAAAUCCCGACAAACGUGGAGUAGAGACAAAUGGGAAAUACACCCUGCACGCACCCUGCCGUGGGUAUCGCGAACACAUAAGUCGUAGAUUGUCUGUCUGCGAGCGGCGUCUUAAUCGAUUAAGUGUUAACUAUGGAUAAACAAUGUAAAUAUGUAUAAACAAAUAAAGAUAGCAUUUUAUUUAA
This is a long non-coding RNA of Cydia pomonella (codling moth), 4430 nucleotides long. RefSeq lists it as uncharacterized. NCBI's taxonomy places the organism in Eukaryota, Metazoa, Arthropoda, Insecta, Lepidoptera, Tortricidae. The transcript has 2 exons. The record is from RefSeq and is a predicted model, not a curated record.